CGCCGCCGCUCCGCCCCUGAGCGCCGGGCGCCCAAAGGCUGCCGGAGCGCUCGUGUUGCGGCAGUCCUCGUUGCCGGGGCUGGCGCGGCCCCUUCGGCGGGGGCUGAGCGGCUUUAUCUGCGCGCCUCGGAAGUGGCCACGGGCUCUGGCUGGCUGAAGAGACCACACUUACCAAGAAGAACAGACAUCUCUAUGUAAACAGAGGCUUUGGAGCAAAGAGGGAGAAGAGAGGGGAAUCCCCUCGUACUGUUUCAGCCUAUUGGAUGUGCUGCUGUGCAUCGUUCAGGUUUGUGAACCAAGUGUAAGUACUGGCUGGUUACAGGUGCUGUCUGUCUCAGAGGCUGCUAUUUUCCAGUUGUCAUUUGUGAACUUUGAAAAAAAACUUUUCAUUUGUUUGUGGCAUUUGUCUUAACUGUCUUAUAACAGAGUGUAAAACAAAGAUUGUGUUUUCAUUGUGCA
Molecule: long non-coding RNA, 459 nt
Filed under: Apteryx haastii (Great spotted kiwi)
Lineage: Eukaryota; Metazoa; Chordata; Aves; Apterygiformes; Apterygidae
Description: lncRNA (ENSAHAG00000003931.1)
Source: RNAcentral